This 350-nucleotide ribosomal RNA is filed under the name uncultured bacterium. RNAcentral's name for it is "bacterial SSU rRNA". It matches the Rfam family "Bacterial small subunit ribosomal RNA", at positions 917 to 1267 of the family's 1533-position model. The record is from RNAcentral.
GGGCCCGCACAAGCGGUGGAGUAUGUGGUUUAAUUCGAUGCAACGCGAAGAACCUUACCAGGGUUUGACAUCCUGCGAAUCUCUUGGAAACGAGAGAGUGCCUUCGGGAACGCAGUGACAGGUGGUGCAUGGCUGUCGUCAGCUCGUGUCGUGAGAUGUUGGGUUAAGUCCCGCAACGAGCGCAACCCACGUCUUUAGUUGCCAGCAUUUAGUUGGGCACUCUAGAGAGACCGCCGGUGAUAAACCCGGAGGAAGGUGGGGACGACGUCAAGUCAUCAUGGCCCUUACGAGUAGGGCUACACACGUGCUACAAUGGCGCAUACAGAGGGCAGCCAACUUGCGAGAGUGAG